RNAcentral lists this transfer RNA (71 nucleotides) under Kofleriaceae bacterium. Its description in RNAcentral is "tRNA-Gln". It matches the Rfam family "tRNA". From Rfam's summary of the family: Transfer RNA (tRNA) molecules are approximately 80 nucleotides in length. Their secondary structure includes four short double-helical elements and three loops (D, anti-codon, and T loops). The record is from RNAcentral. Lineage: Bacteria; Pseudomonadati; Myxococcota; Haliangiales; Kofleriaceae.
UCGGGGUUCGUCUAAAGGCAGGACCUCAGUUUUUGGUACUGAAGAUAGAGGUUCGAAUCCUCUACCCCGAA